GACGGGUAGCCGGCCUGAGAGGGCGACCGGCCACAUUGGGACUGAGAUACGGCCCAGACUCCUACGGGAGGCAGCAGUGGGGAAUAUUGCACAAUGGGCGCAAGCCUGAUGCAGCGACGCCGCGUGAGGGAUGGAGGCCUUCGGGUUGUAAACCUCUUUUGUUAGGGAGCAAGGCACUUUGUGUUGAGUGUACCUUUCGAAUAAGCACCGGCUAACUACGUGCCAGCAGCCGCGGUAAUACGUAGGGUGCAAGCGUUAUCCGGAAUUAUUGGGCGUAAAGGGCUCGUAGGCGGUUCGUCGCGUCCGGUGUGAAAGUCCAUCGCUUAACGGUGGAUCCGCGCCGGGUACGGGCGGGCUUGAGUGCGGUAGGGGAGACUGGAAUUCCCGGUGUAACGGUGGAAUGUGUAGAUAUCGGGAAGAACACCAAUGGCGAAGGCAGGUCUCUGGGCCGUUACUGACGCUGAGGAGCGAAAGCGUGGGGAGCGAACAGGAUUAGAUACCCUGGUAGUCCACGCCGUAAACGGUGGAUGCUGGAUGUGGGGCCCGUUCCACGGGUUCCGUGUCGGAGCUAACGCGUUAAGCAUCCCGCCUGGGGAGUACGGCCGCAAGGCUAAAACUCAAAGAAAUUGACGGGGGCCCGCACAAGCGGCGGAGCAUGCGGAUUAAUUCGAUGCAACGCGAAGAACCUUACCUGGGCUUGACAUGUUCCCGACGAUCCCAGAGAUGGGGUUUCCCUUCGGGGCGGGUUCACAGGUGGUGCAUGGUCGUCGUCAGCUCGUGUCGUGAGAUGUUGGGUUAAGUCCCGCAACGAGCGCAACCCUCGCCCCGUGUUGCCAGCGGAUUGUGCCGGGAACUCACGGGGGACCGCCGGGGUUAACUCGGAGGAAGGUGGGGAUGACGUCAGAUCAUCAUGCCCCUUACGUCCAGGGCUUCACGCAUGCUACAAUGGCCGGUACAACGGGAUGCGACAGUGCGAGCUGGAGCGGAUCCCUGAAAACCGGUCUCAGUUCGGAUCGCAGUCUGCAACUCGACUGCGUGAAGGCGGAGUCGCUAGUAAUCGCGAAUCAGCAACGUCGCGGUGAAUGCGUUCCCGGGCCUUGUACACACCGCCCGUCAAGUCAUGAAAGUGGGCAGCACCCGAAGCCGGUGGCCUAACCCCUUGCGGGAGGGAGCCGUCUAAGGUGAGGCUCGUGAUUGGGACUAAGUCGUAACAAGGUAGCCGUACCGGAAGGUGCGGCUGGAUCACCUCCUUU
Molecule: ribosomal RNA, 1253 nt
Filed under: Bifidobacterium breve
Lineage: Bacteria; Bacillati; Actinomycetota; Actinomycetes; Bifidobacteriales; Bifidobacteriaceae
Description: bacterial SSU rRNA
Rfam family: Bacterial small subunit ribosomal RNA
Source: RNAcentral